UAGUUCCGAGUGUUCUUCAUAUGAGAUUGGAACUUCUCGAAGAUCUCCAGUUCCGACCAAACAGCACCAUAUCGACCUCCAUGCAUGCGGCCAAAACGAAUACUAGUUCCUAAUCGAUCGGCGGAGAUUCCAUUGUCGAAGCUGUGAGCCCCUGACCCCAAACUGUUCCACAUUCUCAGGAAGUGCCAGUGCUUUGGAUUGUUUCGCAACAGUUCCAGUGAGCUGAUUGAUUUUGCAACAGAAAGGUCUUGACGAUGUUGUUCCGACAUGCAUGCUACCUACCGUCUUGGUCUCAGUUUUGGUGUUCCCGAUCAUCAAUUUGGAAGUGGCCGUGAUGGCAUCAAGAAGAACAGAUCCAGUUAAUUCGAAAAGGAAAUGGAACGUGAGUGCGAAAGGGGUGCGGGUACGGGUGCAGUAAUUCCUGUUUGUACCAAAAAAAUGUUUUGCUACUAUUCGAUGCUGCUGCUGAAGAAACCUCCGGAUUGCUAGGAUUGAUCACCAGUUCCGCAUUGACAUGCCGUCAAACUUCCACAUCGGCAUUGCGUUUAUGUUAUCAGCUAACUUAUGUUUCGGUGUUCCGUUCGUUCUAUCGAGGUUCCACCAUACUGAUACGACGCUGCUACUAAGGGAUGUCCUGUCCUGGGAUCUGGUCCUGCGGUUCCUGCUGAUGAUUAUACAGUAGCAGCCAAGCAUCCGGCAACAUAAAGGUUCAAAAAUAAUCAUACCUUAUAUAUGUACUAUAUAAUGAGUCAUAAAUUCAGAUAAAUAAAAUAUUUUACUUUAUAUUCAU
Long non-coding RNA from Armigeres subalbatus, 790 nucleotides. RefSeq lists it as uncharacterized. NCBI's taxonomy places the organism in Eukaryota, Metazoa, Arthropoda, Insecta, Diptera, Culicidae. The record is from RefSeq and is a predicted model, not a curated record. The transcript is spliced from 3 exons.